Long non-coding RNA from Papaver somniferum (opium poppy), 256 nucleotides. RefSeq lists it as uncharacterized. The record is from RefSeq and is a predicted model, not a curated record. The transcript is spliced from 3 exons. NCBI's taxonomy places the organism in Eukaryota, Viridiplantae, Streptophyta, Magnoliopsida, Ranunculales, Papaveraceae.
AGCGACCCAAUGGCAGUAGUUUAUGCAAAGAAAAGUGACGAGAAUCUUGAGGAAAUUGGCCGUACAUAAGUUAUAAUGAACUCGCUAGAUCCUGCUUGGAUAACAAAGAUUUUCGUUGCUUAUCAGUUUGAGAUGGUUCAACCGUUGGUGUUUCGAGUGUAUGAUCUCGACACCAAAUACCAUAACAUUCCCCCGAAGACUCUGAAAUUGGAUGGGCACGAUUUCCUAGGAGAUGCUUCUUGUGCUUUGUCGGAGG